Molecule: ribosomal RNA, 350 nt
Filed under: uncultured bacterium
Lineage: Bacteria
Description: bacterial SSU rRNA
Rfam family: Bacterial small subunit ribosomal RNA
Source: RNAcentral
GGGGAAUAUUGGACAAUGGGCGAAAGCCUGAUCCAGCCAUGCCGCGUGUGUGAAGAAGGUCUUCGGAUUGUAAAGCACUUUAAGUUGGGAGGAAGGGCAUUAACCUAAUACGUUAGUGUUUUGACGUUACCGACAGAAUAAGCACCGGCUAACUCCGUGCCAGCAGCCGCGGUAAUACGGAGGGUGCAAGCGUUAAUCGGAAUUACUGGGCGUAAAGCGCGCGUAGGUGGUUUGUUAAGUUGGAUGUGAAAGCCCCGGGCUCAACCUGGGAACUGCAUCCAAAACUGACGAGCUAGAGUAUGGUAGAGGGUGGUGGAAUUUCCUGUGUAGCGGUGAAAUGCGUAGAUAUA